RNAcentral lists this ribosomal RNA (484 nucleotides) under uncultured bacterium. RNAcentral describes it as "partial 16S ribosomal RNA". It matches the Rfam family "Bacterial small subunit ribosomal RNA", at positions 29 to 507 of the family's 1533-position model. The record is from RNAcentral.
AAUGAACGCUGGCGGCAGGCCUAACACAUGCAAGUCGAGCGGAUGAAGGGAGCUUGCUCCUGGAUUCAGCGGCGGACGGGUGAGUAAUGCCUAGGAAGCUGCCUGGUAGUGGGGGAUAACGUCCGUAAACGGGCGCUAAUACCGCAUACGUCCUGAGGGAGAAAGUGGGGGAUCUUCGGACCUCACGCUACCAGAUGAGCCUAGGUCGGAUUAGCUAGUUGGUGGGGUAAAGGCCUACCAAGGCGACGAUCCGUAACUGAUCUGAGAGGAUGAUCAGUCACACUGGAACUGAGACACGGUCCAGACUCCUACGGGAGGCAGCAGUAGGGAAUAUUGGACAAUGGGCGAAAGCCUGAUCCAGCAAUGCCGCGUGUGUGAAGAAGGUCUUCGGAUUGUAAAGCACUUUUAGUUGGGAGGAAGAGCAGUAAGUUAAUCCCUUGCUGUUUUGACGUUACCAACAGAAUAAGCACCGGCUAACUUCGUG